AGAGAGUCUGUGUAGCUAUCUAUCAUCUGAUCAUUCAGUUGUUUCUUUCGAUCAAAGAGCACAUACCAAACGGAAAAAUCACAAUUUCGUGUUUCAAUUUGUGACUAUAAAAUAAUUUAUAAAUAAUUUCAUUAAAAAUGAAAAAAAGCACCGGUGUUCACUGCCCUCCAGUGGUCACAAAGGGAAACUGCAAGACAUUAAAUUCGUCAAGGGGCAGCAUCACGCACGCGGUAGCAGGCCUACACUUUCAUGAAAGACUUUCAAAUUAAAAAGGAAAUUAGGCUGAGGUGUGGACACCCACUUCAGUGUGGGAAAACGGAUGUUACGUUUGAAGCAUGUGUAAAAAGCGAGGUUUGUCGCACGAUUUUGCUGUGUUUAAAGAUAAUUGCGAUUUCAAAUGUCAUUACCAUGCGGGAUAUGACAGUGGUCAUCAGUAAUAAACCUGCUAAAUUGGCUCGGUAAAGCCAGAGUCUGACAGUUUUUCAUGGGGAAGGAAGCCCGAGGAAACGCGCCAGCCGGAGCUCCAUGCAGACAGCAAAGGCGGGAGUUUUGACACUGCAGUGAAAUAAUUAGUUAUUUAAACAGCAGGAUGGCCCAUCUUCUCUCUCCAAGUGAACUCCAAAUGGAUUACCGCCUCAUGAAAGACCAGAUUGUGAGAGAAUAUUUGUUACUGCUCUGACUGGACAUUGCGAUCAUGAAGAUUUGUAACCACAAUGUGUAACCGGAUACACUGAGUGAACGCGCUGACCUGCAGGCCAUCAAACCUGCAGUGACUUCUGGCUUUGGAGUGUGGCCUGCUGAGAAGACCUCAGAAGCUUCUCUAGAUCUGGAACCAGUCUGGUCCCAUCCUCCAGGGUUUUGAGAAACUCGACCUGGAACUCAACCAUUUCCGGCUGGGUAAACUCAGGCACACAGUGUGAGUGUGAAGAUCUGGCCAUUUCCAGCAGCACUGUAAAUGAGUCUUGAUAAUCCUCCAGACCAGGGAGAGAGCAAAGGAGCAGGAGGAAGAGUCUCCUCCUCAAGGUUAGGGUGGAGCAGGAUUGGCUGGAGCUGAGGGGGACACGGUGAAGGACAAGGACGAGGAGAGGAAACAAGCACAAGAGCCAGCGCCAUCAUGUGAAGAAUGCGUUGUCAGAUGUUUUCUGCGGUUGUACUCAAUCAGACUCCACCAAUAAGUAAUGAAAUGGGGCUCUUACCUUUCUGCACUCAUCAAACUCGCUAAAGAUCUCAGAGUCAUCGUCCAGGCUGUCUCCUGAGCUCUCGAGCAGCAGUCCGACCCCGUCAUCCAGGAUCUCCUCUGCCAUGAACAAAACUGUGUGUGAGCCUCAAGAAAUGUUGUAUAGGAUUUUCUUUUCUUUUUUUUUUAAUGAGAUGCAAGCAUUUUUGACCAGCACUGUGAAGUAGGUGAAGAAUGUUGUACUUGCCUUCUAAUUUUUUUAUUAAAGUUUAUGAC
This is a long non-coding RNA of Scatophagus argus, 1453 nucleotides long. RefSeq lists it as uncharacterized. The record is from RefSeq and is a predicted model, not a curated record. NCBI's taxonomy places the organism in Eukaryota, Metazoa, Chordata, Actinopteri, Scatophagidae. The transcript is spliced from 4 exons.